GGUAAUCUACUUGCACUUUGACGUGCUUUCGAACUGCUAGGUUGGCAGGAGCAGGGACCGAGCAACGGGAGCUCACCCCGUCGCGGGGAUUCGAACCGCCAACCUUCUGAUCGGCAAGUCCUAGGCUCUGUGAUUUAACCCACAGCGCCACCCGCGUCCCUUGGCUCAAGACAUAUACCUCACAAAAUGUUUGAAAAACAGAAUAUUGGGAUGCCUUCAAACUUGCACAUUUAUUAGGGCAUAAGCUUUUAUGGACCAAAGUUCAUUUCAUCAGUUAUAUGCCUCUCACUUGAGGAUUACUCUGCACCCAUCUAAGAAUCAAUCGCAUAUUUGGUGCCUUAAAAGAAGCAGCUGAGAACUAUAAAAAGUUUGCAACAAAAGUCUUGAACUCUUUGGAGGAGUGACUCCAUGUGUCAAAAAUGAGGCUGCUUCCUGCAGAUCUUUUGUCUGUCUGUUCCUAAACUACCAUUUUUAGUUCAUGGAUCUGUUUGAGAACUUUCGAGUCCUCAGUUGUAGUUCACGGGCAUACUGAGUUCUGAGUGAUAGGCUUGGGAAAGAUAAAAAAAACAAUCCUUUAUGUGCUCAUCCCUUCCUUUUCUUGAAGUUAAACCAAUCAAAGUCCACAGGUUUUCUCACUUAUUUCUUGGGCUGAAAAGAAUUCUCAGGAAAUUGCAAUCCUAUGUGGAUGGAGCAACAAACUGCUCCCAAUCAUUUUAUUUAUAUAAAUAAUUAUAUGCCAUGUUUUGGCUCCAUGUUACCUAAACAUAUACAAAUAAAUAAAACUAAUUUAAAUGUGAACAA
This is a long non-coding RNA of Podarcis raffonei (Aeolian wall lizard), 801 nucleotides long. RefSeq lists it as uncharacterized. The transcript has 2 exons. NCBI's taxonomy places the organism in Eukaryota, Metazoa, Chordata, Lepidosauria, Squamata, Lacertidae. The record is from RefSeq and is a predicted model, not a curated record.